This 917-nucleotide ribosomal RNA is filed under the name Amanita flavorubens. RNAcentral describes it as "partial 28S ribosomal RNA". It matches the Rfam family "Eukaryotic large subunit ribosomal RNA", at positions 37 to 941 of the family's 3401-position model. The record is from RNAcentral. Lineage: Eukaryota; Fungi; Basidiomycota; Agaricomycetes; Agaricales; Amanitaceae.
AGCAUAUCAAUAAGCGGAGGAAAAGAAACUAACAAGGAUUCCCUUAGUAACUGCGAGUGAAGAGGGAAAAGCUCAAAUUUAAAAUCUGGCAGUGUUUCACUGUCCGAGUUGUAACCUAGAGAAGUGUAACCUGCGCUGGACCGUGUAUAAGUCUCCUGGAAUGGAGCAUCACUGAGGGUGAGAAUCCCGUCUUUGACACGGACCACCAGUGCAUUGUGGUUGUGCUCUCAACGAGUCGAGUUGUUUGGGAAUGCAGCUCUAAAUGGGUGGUAAAUUCCAUCUAAAGCUAAAUAUUGGCGAGAGACCGAUAGCGAACAAGUACCGUGAGGGAAAGAUGAAAAGAACUUUGGAAAGAGAGUUAAACAGUAUGUGAAAUUGUUGAAAGGGAAACGUUUGAAGUCAGUCGCGUCGGUUGGGGAUCAGCCUGACAUUGUUGGGUGUACUUCCUGGUUGACGGGCCAACAUCAGUUUUGAUUGCCAGAAAAAGGCCAAAGGAAUGUGGCACCUUUGGGUGUGUUAUAGCCCUUGGUCGUAUAUGGUGGUUGGGACUGAGGAAAGCAGCGUGCCGAAAGGCCGGGUUUCGACCACGUUCACGCUGAGGAUGUUGGCAUAAUGGCUUUAAGCGACCCGUCUUGAAACACGGACCAAGGAGUCUAACAUGCAUGCGAGUGUUUGGGUGGAAAACCCUUACGCGUAAUGAAAGUGAAAGUUGAGAUCCCUGUCGUGGGGAGCAUCGACGCCCGGACCAGAACUUUUGGGACGGAUCUGCGGUAGAGCACGUAUGUUGGGACCCGAAAGAUGGUGAACUAUGCCUGAAUAGGGUGAAGCCAGAGGAAACUCUGGUGGAGGCUCGUAGCGAUUCUGACGUGCAAAUCGAUCGUCAAAUUUGGGUAUAGGGGCGAAAGACUAAUCGAACC